GAGUUUCUGCUGCGUGAGGACGCCGAAAUGAGUGUCCUGUCUGUUUGAGCGUGCUCUAGAAGUUUUAGAAGUCUGCAUUCAGCGUUCUAAUACUACCUUUCAUGUGAGAAAAACAUGUCAAAAACGAACCUCCAGUUAUGAAAGUGUUUUUCCAAGUUCUGCGCUCCGACGAUCUCCUUUCCAAUCCACUCCAGCAACUCGUCGUGCUUUGGCAGAUUCUUAUUGACAAUGUGCGCCCGGCAAGAUGGCGGCGGGAUGAGUUUCUGCGGCGUGAGGACGCCGAAAUGAGUGUCCUGUCUGUUUGAGCGUGCUCUCGAAGUUUCAAAAGUCUGCAUUCAGCGUUCUUAUACUACCUUUCAUGUGACAUAAGGAUUUCAAAAACCGGCCUCCAUUUAUGAAGUUUUUUUCCGAGUUCUGCGGCUCCUGCUGCUCUGCGCUCCGACGAUCUCCUUUCCGAAACACUCCAGCAACUCGUAGUGCUUUGGCAAGUUCUUCUUGACAAUGUGUGCUUUUCCUUGAAUUGUAUUUUGAUAUCGGUGGCUUGAUCUGUAGUGUACCCUUUGUAUACCGAUUUAUGUUAUUGUUAACCUGCAUGUUUCCUGUUGACUGAUGUUAUUGUGUAUGCUGCGGCUCCUGGUUCUCUGCGCUCCGACGAUCUCCGGCAAUUCAUUCUUGUCAAUGUGUGUUUUUUCUCACAUUUGAUUAUUGUUACCAGUGGCUUGAUCUGUAAUGUCCCGAUUCAGUGCUGGAUUUUAUUCUUGACCUGCAUGU
This is a non-coding RNA of Lepisosteus oculatus (spotted gar), 771 nucleotides long. The record is from RefSeq and is a predicted model, not a curated record. NCBI's taxonomy places the organism in Eukaryota, Metazoa, Chordata, Actinopteri, Semionotiformes, Lepisosteidae.